UACGUAGGAUGCAAGCGUUGUCCGGAAUUAUUGGGCGUAAAGAGCGCGCAGGCGGUAUGACAAGUCAGAUGUGAAAGAGGCCGGCUUAACCGGCAAGGGUCAUUUGAAACUGUCAGACUGGAGUGCAGCAGAGGAUAGUGGAAUUCCCGGUGUAGUGGUGAAAUGCGUAGAUAUCGGGAGGAACACCAGUGGCGAAGGCGACUAUCUGGGCUGCAACUGACGCUGAGGCGCGAAGGCUAGGGUAGCAAACAGG
Molecule: ribosomal RNA, 253 nt
Filed under: uncultured bacterium
Lineage: Bacteria
Description: partial 16S ribosomal RNA
Rfam family: Bacterial small subunit ribosomal RNA
Source: RNAcentral